Molecule: ribosomal RNA, 301 nt
Filed under: uncultured bacterium
Lineage: Bacteria
Description: partial 16S ribosomal RNA
Rfam family: Bacterial small subunit ribosomal RNA
Source: RNAcentral
CAGCAGCCGCGGUAAUACGGAGGGUGCGAGCGUUAAUCGGAAUUACUGGGCGUAAAGCGUACGCAGGCGGUUUGUUAAGUCAGAUGUGAAAUCCCCGAGCUUAACUCGGGAACUGCAUUUGAAACUGGCAGGCUAGAGUCUCGUAGAGGGGGGUAGAAUCCCAGGUGUAGCGGUGAAAUGCGUAGAGAUCUGGAGGAAUACCGGUGGCGAAGGCGGCCCCCUGGACGAAGACUGACGCUCAGGUACGAAAGCGUGGGGAGCAAACAGGAUUAGAUACCCGCGUAGUCCCUGUCUCUUAUAC